GAGCUGUGAUGAUAAAAGCAUAUGAUUGAUGGGUCAAUCACUAAUUCGUCUCAUAAAAGUAGAUGAAAUACAUGCAGUUCUGAGCUC
Molecule: small nucleolar RNA, 87 nt
Organism: Vigna umbellata (rice bean)
Lineage: Eukaryota; Viridiplantae; Streptophyta; Magnoliopsida; Fabales; Fabaceae
Product: small nucleolar RNA snoR114
Source: RefSeq, a predicted model, not a curated record